UAGCGUAUAAGCUAUAAGUAUGUUUGGCUGUAUCAAACAGAGCCAUAAUUUAUUCUGAAAAGUCAUAUAUGGGACAUCUUUGUGGCUGAUAAUUAGUUAAAACUUUGAUAAAUUUGGCGGUUGAAUGGUGCGGUAUUGAGCAAAAGCUGCUUAAUUGAGAGAAGGGUUUGAUAACAAAAUCAACAGCAUUGUCCAUCCUGUGUGGCUUUUCACUCCACCUCACCUAGAGGUACACCUCACCAACAACAAUGAAAUGUAAAAACCAUAUUGCUCUAGCACCUUUUAUUGCCAGCAUGUAUCACCAACUUUACUUUGUUUUUCAGUAAGAUAAAGAAAAGGCUUAGUUACAAUUAUAGUUUUCUUUUCUUUUUACUUAAUUAUAAUUAGCACCUUUUAUUGCCAGCAUGUAUCACCAACUUUACUUUGUUUUUCAGUAAGAUAAAGAAAAGG
This 450-nucleotide long non-coding RNA is filed under the name Cicer arietinum (chickpea). RNAcentral's name for it is "long non-coding RNA (CARI_LNC001089)". The record is from RNAcentral. Lineage: Eukaryota; Viridiplantae; Streptophyta; Magnoliopsida; Fabales; Fabaceae.